GUAAGGAAUAUUGGUCAAUGGGCGAGAGCCUGAACCAGCCAUGCCGCGUGCAGGAAGACAGCCCUCUGGGUCGUAAACUGCUUUUAUUCGGGAAUAAACCUGCUUACGUGUAAGUAGCUGAAUGUACCGAAGGAAUAAGGAUCGGCUAACUCCGUGCCAGCAGCCGCGGUAAUACGGAGGAUCCAAGCGUUAUCCGGAUUUAUUGGGUUUAAAGGGUGCGUAGGCGGCCUGUUAAGUCAGGGGUGAAAGACGGUAGCUCAACUAUCGCAGUGCCCUUGAUACUGAUGGGCUUGAAUGGACUAGAGGUAGGCGGAAUGUGACAAGUAGCGGUGAAAUGCAUAGAUAUGUCACAGAACACCGAUUGCGAAGGCAGCUUACUAUGGUCCUAUUGACGCUGAGGCACGAAAGCGUGGGGAUCAAACAGGAUUAGAAACCCUGGUAGUCC
This 445-nucleotide ribosomal RNA is filed under the name uncultured bacterium. RNAcentral's name for it is "bacterial SSU rRNA". It matches the Rfam family "Bacterial small subunit ribosomal RNA", at positions 354 to 796 of the family's 1533-position model. The record is from RNAcentral.